Long non-coding RNA from Pteropus alecto (black flying fox), 874 nucleotides. RefSeq lists it as uncharacterized. The transcript is spliced from 2 exons. The record is from RefSeq and is a predicted model, not a curated record. NCBI's taxonomy places the organism in Eukaryota, Metazoa, Chordata, Mammalia, Chiroptera, Pteropodidae.
GGCUCUCACCCGGUGGCGAGAGGAACGAACGCAAGAUGGCGCGCGAGCGUCGCGGUCGGUUGAGUGCCGCUGGGUACCACGGCCCCAGCCCCACGGCGCCUUGCGGGCACAGGAGAGGCCGCGGAGGCCUGAAAGGGGCCGCCCUGGCUCCGGGCCUGUCCCAGGCAGAGCAGAGCCGGGCCAACGGAGGAAGAACGUUCUGAAGGUGGGAGCUGGCCCGGGAGAGUCCGGCUGCGCGAAGGACGUGAGCGCCUUGUCGCACAAGUGUUCAAGUCGGGGCUCCCGAGAGGUUCCUGUACCAGGUGGGAGUUGGAUUGGGACUCCGUGAGCAUGGGUCGUCCCGACCGUCCCUCCCUCUCGGGAGCUCCCAGGGCUUCCGGACCCCUGGCCUGCCUCCCUAGGGCAGAGCCUUGAACUCUCCACUCCCGAAUUAGGUCUCUGGACUGAGAUCUAGAAACCUAGGAUCUGCUUCAGGCUCCAUCAGAGACUCAGUUACUUCUCUGGGCCUCCUUUCCUUAUUUCUAAAACUGGCGAUUAUAAUGCCUGCACUUUCUCCUCUGGGAGUGUUGCAGGCUUCAUAUGAGAUGUCAUUGAUGUGUAGGCUGAACAGUCCUUUAUGGGCAUAAACAGUCGUUCCCAUUUGCUGUAUAUUGGUGCAACUUCUUGGAAGGAAAUUAGGCAAUGUCUUUUAAAAUUAAAAAAAGCACAUAACUUUUGCCUCAGCAAUUCUAGAAAUAUGUCCUACAGAUUUAGUGGCCACGUAUGCACAGAAAGUAUAUAUACAAGGGUACUUACUUGGAAUGGAAAAAAAUACGUAAACAACCCAAAUGUUCAUUGGUAGAUGAACACCGAAGUAAAGGUGGAUUCCAUAAAA